RNAcentral lists this long non-coding RNA (556 nucleotides) under Olea europaea subsp. europaea. The record is from RNAcentral. Lineage: Eukaryota; Viridiplantae; Streptophyta; Magnoliopsida; Lamiales; Oleaceae.
UGUGUUUUAUACACUUAUUCGGAGCUCUAAAAUAACGAUAUUUGAUAGUCCUUUGACAAAAUACAUUUUAAAUUGUUGUGUUUUACGUUUAAUAUGUGAAACUCUACGAUUGAAAAGGAAGUGAAUGAGAGAAGCAAAAACGAGCGGAAAUAGCAAAAUCCAAAGUACGUGAAUUAAAUUGGCCAUUGAAUGCAAUUUUUGGGAAUCAAAGUCUAACUAUAAAAAUUGGACUGAUUUGCAUCGCUUUGAAAAUUGAGUGCUUGGAGAAAAACAAUCUACCAAAUGGGCUCAAUUGGACUUGCUUUGAAAUUCAAAUUCAAGAUUUACUUGGACGGUUGGACCUCUAAUUGGACUAGAAGAGCUGCUAGGUUGCAUUGCAUCAUAUGAUUCAUAUAUAUACACACAGAAAAUCCAAAGAAAGAGGGGAGCAGCCUGGGAAAUAAAGAUACGUAUACAUUGGUGGCUACAAGAAUUAGAUAUACAGAAAAAAAAAAGGAUGGUCGGCAUCUUUGGGAGGAGAAUUCUGCCAUUAAAUAUAUGAACACAGAGAGCCAGG